GGGUCAGUAGGUUGGUCGUGCCACCGGUACGUACUGGUCUCACUGAUUCCUCCUUCCUGAAGAACCGUAAUGCCAUUAAUUUGGUGUUGCGGGGAAACAGGACUGUUACCUUGAAAAAAUUAGAGUGUUUAAAGCAAGCUAACGCUUGAAUACAUUAGCAUGGAAUAAUGAAAUAGGACGAUCGAUCCUAUUUUGUUGGUUUCUAGGAUUGACGUG
Molecule: ribosomal RNA, 216 nt
Filed under: Glomeromycotina sp.
Lineage: Eukaryota; Fungi; Glomeromycota
Description: partial small subunit ribosomal RNA
Rfam family: Eukaryotic small subunit ribosomal RNA (bases 40-216)
Source: RNAcentral